CCGAACGAUCCAAAUCCUGGUUAUGAGCGAGAGAAGCUGGCGAAACUUGCAGUGCAAUUUUUGCGGAGUCGCGGAGCUGGCAAACUCGAGCUCCUCCAAAACAGCGAAGCAGGAGUUGCCAAGAAUUACAUCUAAGUGCCACCGCCAAGCUUCCCACGCGUAGAUGGGCUGUCACGCCUAGUUGGGCCCUCCCGAGCUGCUAUUUCUCAUAGCUAGGUGGCUGGCGGCCUGUUUCAACGGCCAGAACGAGGAGCUACUCUACCGAACGAUUUGUAACUCCAGGAUUUUAACUGAGAAGCCGGCUGCUGGUUUUGGGCUAUGGAGUUGAGGAUUUUGAGGCUGUGGAGAGCUACCGAACACGCCCGGAAUUAGGCACCAUGGGAAGGAUUCAAAUCUCUGAGAAGUGUGCUAAAUCAAUAGUGCCAAUCGGUUCAGUUUCAGCUUCAAAAACAUUAGGUGGUUGAAAAUGGCAUUCUAUAUUUCUGCAACAAGGCUCCCUAAAUAUUCCCUAUGUUCUAAACUGGAUUCUGACAAGGGUGUACACCCUGCUAUUUGGUCAGAAGUUCGGGAGUUCAUACUUGGUUGUUUGAUCUCGAGAACACCUUUGAUGACCACGAGCAAAUUGGGCGAACCAGAAGGUACUUCUAGAACACGGACAAUUUCCCUCAAGGUCAAGACCUCACAUCAAUGCUUCCAAGCCCCUGAUGAGCCUGUUCCUUUUUUUAAAGUUUCUCAAUGUCACUUCUAUAGGUUUACUUGAGAUGUUAUGUUGUAUAUGUUGUGCUGAGGUUUUCCCACUUCCCUUUUAACUUCUCUGAAGUUGAUCAUCACAUGUUUAUGCAAUUGGACCAAAGCGACGACAUUACUUACAGCUUACCCGGUUAACAUAACAGUUAUGAACUAGGAUGAACUUAUACAUGCAGAGAGAGAGAGAGAGAGAGGUUGUUUAAAGAAUCCGGUGUCUUUGUGUUUGCCUACAGAAUUCAAUAUUUGUUCAUGCGGUGAUCCUCGGCCUCUCUCUCUCUCUCUCUCUCUCUCUAUGUGUGUGUGUGUGUGUGUGUGUGUCCUGACUCUUUGUGCCUGUGUUGACCCUUUGUUUGUCCAUGCGAUUUUACUGUGGACUACUCUUUCUAAUUUGGCAUGUAGAUAGGGUCAUUUUUAGAUAUUCUAUAAGGUGAUUACUGUUG
Molecule: long non-coding RNA, 1187 nt
Organism: Triticum aestivum (bread wheat)
Lineage: Eukaryota; Viridiplantae; Streptophyta; Magnoliopsida; Poales; Poaceae
Exons: 4
Source: RefSeq, a predicted model, not a curated record